GGUUUGGUUAUGCAUCUAUGCAUUGCUUUUGCUCUUUGUCAUGGAGUACUAACUGUGGAGGUUCAGGUUUACAAUCUUAGAAAUGCAGUGAUUGAUGUGUUUUCUAAUCGUAAUGCAGCAAACAAAUUGUUUUGCAAGUUAUGUACUUUAAUUAUCUGUAUCUUACCAUUCUUACCAAGUACCGUCAAAUGUACAGCUUGAUUUUGUAUAUGUAUUUCCCUCAGUUUCUUGUAGGUUCCUGCAUAAGAGGUCAUUAUUGCAGAGUUGGAGACUGACACUAUGUUUAUCAGUACAUGCUAUUGGAAUUCCCAACAAACUUGACAGGAUGGAUCAGUCACACGUUGGUUACAUCAAGUCUUCUAAAGGUAUUUACCUAGAUCCUUGAGAUGCUAUUCGUAUUGGCCUGAAUGCAGUUGAAUUCUGAAUCAUAAACAAGCUGGGAGAUUUGUCUUCCACAUAUUUUUAGUGCAUGCUCGGAGAACAAGAUAAGAGGAGAGGCUUGAAUCUUGAGAUGACAAGGGUAGUCACCUGCUGCGACUAAAGGAAGGAGGUCAAUGAAGCAAAAGGGACGAAAAGGAAGGAGCAACGCCACAGGGACGAUGUUG
Long non-coding RNA from Triticum aestivum (bread wheat), 605 nucleotides. RefSeq lists it as uncharacterized. The record is from RefSeq and is a predicted model, not a curated record. The transcript is spliced from 5 exons. NCBI's taxonomy places the organism in Eukaryota, Viridiplantae, Streptophyta, Magnoliopsida, Poales, Poaceae.